Physeter macrocephalus (sperm whale) is the source of this 137-nucleotide small nucleolar RNA. Its record names the gene U8. It matches the Rfam family "U8 small nucleolar RNA". From Rfam's summary of the family: U8 is a member of the C/D class of snoRNA which contain the C (UGAUGA) and D (CUGA) box motifs. U8 is the RNA component of a small complex (the U8 snoRNP) which is required for accumulation of mature large subunit ribosomal RNAs, 5.8S and 28S rRNAs. The record is from Ensembl. NCBI's taxonomy places the organism in Eukaryota, Metazoa, Chordata, Mammalia, Artiodactyla, Physeteridae.
ACAUAAGAAGUAGGGUAAUCCUUACGUGUCUUUUUCUUGGAGGGCAGUUUGGAACAUGUUGAUUGGAAGUCUCAUGAUACAUGAUUAACAUCUGUGCAUAAUCAAGACUUGCAACACCCUGAUUGCUCCUAUCUUAA